RNAcentral lists this ribosomal RNA (492 nucleotides) under uncultured bacterium. Its description in RNAcentral is "partial 16S ribosomal RNA". It matches the Rfam family "Bacterial small subunit ribosomal RNA", at positions 29 to 507 of the family's 1533-position model. The record is from RNAcentral.
AGUGAACGCUGGCGGUAGGCCUAACACAUGCAAGUCGAACGGCAGCACAGUAAGAGCUUGCUCUUACGGGUGGCGAGUGGCGGACGGGUGAGGAAUACAUCGGAAUCUACUUUUUCGUGGGGGAUAACGUAGGGAAACUUACGCUAAUACCGCAUACGACCUACGGGUGAAAGCAGGGGAUCUUCGGACCUUGCGCGAUUGAAUGAGCCGAUGUCGGAUUAGCUGGUUGGCGGGGUAAAGGCCCACCAAGGCGACGAUCCGUAGCUGGUCUGAGAGGAUGAUCAGCCACACUGGAACUGAGACACGGUCCAGACUCCUACGGGAGGCAGCAGUGGGGAAUAUUGGACAAUGGGCGCAAGCCUGAUCCAGCCAUACUGCGUGGGUGAAGAAGGCCUUCGGGUUGUAAAGCCCUUUUGUUGGGAAAGAAAAGCAGCAGGUUAAUACCCCGCUGUUCUGACGGUACCCAAAGAAUAAGCACCGGCUAACUUCGUG